RNAcentral lists this ribosomal RNA (392 nucleotides) under uncultured bacterium. RNAcentral's name for it is "bacterial SSU rRNA". It matches the Rfam family "Bacterial small subunit ribosomal RNA", at positions 28 to 419 of the family's 1533-position model. The record is from RNAcentral.
GACGAACGCUGGCGGCGUGCUUAACACAUGCAAGUCGAGCGGUAAGGCCCUUUCGGGGGUACACGAGCGGCGAACGGGUGAGUAACACGUGGGUGACCUGCCCUCAGAACUCUGGGAUAAGCCUGGGAAACCGGGUCUAAUACUGGAUAUGACUCCAUGACGCAUGUUGUGGGGUGGAAAGCCUUGUGCGGCUGAGGAUGGGCCCGCGGCCUAUCAGCUUGUUGGUGGGGUGANGGCCUACCAAGGCGACGACGGGUAGCCGGCCUGAGAGGGCGACCGGCCACACUGGGACUGAGACACGGCCCAGACCCCUACGGGAGGCAGCAGUGGGGAAUCUUGCGCAAUGGGCGAAAGCCUGACGCAGCGACGCCGCGUGAGGGAUGACGGCCUGG